This 302-nucleotide ribosomal RNA is filed under the name uncultured Ornithinimicrobium sp. Its description in RNAcentral is "bacterial SSU rRNA". It matches the Rfam family "Bacterial small subunit ribosomal RNA", at positions 505 to 807 of the family's 1533-position model. The record is from RNAcentral. Lineage: Bacteria; Bacillati; Actinomycetota; Actinomycetes; Micrococcales; Ornithinimicrobiaceae.
GUGCCAGCAGCCGCGGUAAUACGUAGGGUGCGAGCGUUGUCCGGAAUUAUUGGGCGUAAAGAGCUUGUAGGCGGUUUGUCGCGUCUGCUGUGAAAGCCCGGGGCUUAACCCCGGGUCUGCAGUGGGUACGGGCAGACUAGAGUAUGGUAGGGGAGACUGGAAUUCCUGGUGUAGCGGUGGAAUGCGCAGAUAUCAGGAGGAACACCGAUGGCGAAGGCAGGUCUCUGGGCCAUAACUGACGCUGAGAAGCGAAAGCAGUGGUAGCGAACAGGAUUAGAUACCUGGUAGUCCAUGCCGUAAAC